ACGCUCGACACCUACGGUAGGCAGCAGUGGGGAAUAUUGCACAAUGGGGGAAACCCUGAUGCAGCGACGCCGCGUGAAGGAAGAAGUAUUUCGGUAUGUAAACUUCUAUCAGCAGGGAAGAAAAUGACGGUACCUGAGUAAGAAGCACCGGCUAAAUACGUGCCUGCAGCCGCGGUAAUCUGAGCGGGCUGGCAAGGC
This 198-nucleotide ribosomal RNA is filed under the name uncultured bacterium. Its description in RNAcentral is "partial 16S ribosomal RNA". It matches the Rfam family "Bacterial small subunit ribosomal RNA", at positions 326 to 539 of the family's 1533-position model. The record is from RNAcentral.